CGUAUGGCGGACCGGCGCACGGGUGAGUAACGCGUAUGCAACCUGCCCGAUACCGGGGUAUAGCCCAUGGAAACGUGGAUUAACACCCCAUAGUACUUUUAUCCUGCCUGGGAUGGGAGUUAAAUGUUCAAGGUAUCGGAUGGGCAUGCGUCCUAUUAGUUAGUUGGCGGGGUAACAGCCCACCAAGACGAUGAUAGGUAGGGGUUCUGAGAGGAAGGUCCCUCACAUUGGAACUGAGACACGGUCCAA
RNAcentral lists this ribosomal RNA (249 nucleotides) under uncultured bacterium. Its description in RNAcentral is "partial 16S ribosomal RNA". It matches the Rfam family "Bacterial small subunit ribosomal RNA", at positions 84 to 334 of the family's 1533-position model. The record is from RNAcentral.